GGGGACAACCCGCCGAAAGGCGGGCUAAACCCGCGUACAUGCCACCGGGGCAUCCCGGAGGCAGGAAAGGCUUCGGCCGGACAGGGAUGGGCAUGCGGCGCAUUAGGCAGUAGGCGGGGUAACGGCCCACCUAACCGACGAUGCGUAGGGGUUCUGAGAGGAAGGUCCCCCACACUGGUACUGAGACACGGACCAGACUCCUACGGGAGGCAGCAGUGAGGAAUAUUGGUCAAUGGUCGGGAGACUGAACCAGCCAAGCCGCGUGAGGGAGGAAGGUACAGAGUAUCGUAAACCUCUUUUGUCAGGGAACAAAGACUGGGACGCGUCCCCGGAUGAGUGUACCUGAAGAAAAAGCAUCGGCUAACUCCGUGCCAGCAGCCGCGGUAAUACGGAGGAUGCGAGCGUUAUCCGGAUUUAUUGGGUUUAAAGGGUGCGCAGGCGGUCUGUUAAGUCAGCGGUCAAAGCCCGGGGCUCAACCCCGGCCCGCCGUUGAAACUGGCAGUCUCGAGUUGGAGAGAAGUAUGCGGAAUGUGCGGUGUAGCGGUGAAAUGCAUAGAUAUCGCGCAGAACUCCGAUUGCGAAGGCAGCAUGCCGGCUCCACACUGACGCUGAGGCACGAAAGCGUGGGUAUCGAACAGGAUUAGAUACCCUGGUAGUCCACGCAGUAAACG
This 671-nucleotide ribosomal RNA is filed under the name uncultured bacterium. RNAcentral's name for it is "bacterial SSU rRNA". It matches the Rfam family "Bacterial small subunit ribosomal RNA", at positions 139 to 808 of the family's 1533-position model. The record is from RNAcentral.